Molecule: ribosomal RNA, 520 nt
Filed under: uncultured bacterium
Lineage: Bacteria
Description: bacterial SSU rRNA
Rfam family: Archaeal small subunit ribosomal RNA
Source: RNAcentral
AACCUCCGCAAUGUGAGAAAUCGCGACGGGGGGGUCCCAAGUGCCAUUCUUAACGGGAUGGCUUUUCAUUAGUGUAAAGAGCUUUUGGAAUAAGAGCUGGGCAAGACCGGUGCCAGCCGCCGCGGUAACACCGGCAGCUCUAGUGGUAACAAUUUUUAUUGGGCCUAAAGCGUCCGUAGCCGGUUUAAUAAGUCUCUGGUGAAAUCCUGCAGCUUAACUGUGGGAAUUGCUGGAGAUACUAUUAGACUUGAGACCGGGAGAGGUUAGAGGUACUCCCAGGGUAGAGGUGAAAUUCUGUAAUCCUGGGAGGACCGCCUGUUGCGAAGGCGUCUAACUGGAACGGUUCUGACGGUGAGGGACGAAAGUUAGGGGCGCGAACCGGAUUAGAUACCCGGGUAGUCCUAACUGUAAACGAUGCGGACUUGGUGUUGGGGUGGCUUUGAGCUGCUCAGUGCCGAAGGGAAGCUGUUAAGUCCGCCGCCUGGGAAGUACGGUCGCAAGACUGAAACUUAAAGGAAUU